GACGACGGCUGGCGGCGUGGAUUAGGCAUGCAAGUCGAACGGUAUCAUCCUUUCGGGGGUGAGAGAGUGGCGAACUGGUGAGUAACACGUAGGUUAUCUACCCUCAAGACGGGACAACCCAGGGAAACUUGGGCUAAUACCGGAUGUGAGCAACUUUUAGUGUUUGAAAGGUGGCGUAAGCUGUCGCUUGGGGAUGAGCCUGCGUCCUAUUAGUUAGUUGGUGAGGUAACGGCUCACCUAGGCAAUGAUAGGUAGGCGGCCUUAACGGGUGGUCGCCCACACUGGGAUUGAGAUACGGCCCAGACUCCUACGGGAGGCAGCAGUCGAGAAUAGUCUACAAUGGUCGGAAGACUGAUAGUGCGACGCCGCGUGAACGAUGAAUCCCUUCGGGGUGUAAAGUUCUUUUAUAUGUGAGCAGUGCUUCUUAUAUUAACAGUAUGGGGAGAGAGAUAUUAGCAUAUGAAUAAGCAACGGCUAACUCCGUG
Molecule: ribosomal RNA, 485 nt
Filed under: uncultured bacterium
Lineage: Bacteria
Description: bacterial SSU rRNA
Rfam family: Bacterial small subunit ribosomal RNA
Source: RNAcentral